AAAAAAAAAGAUGAAAUAACAAGAAUAAGAAGCGAAAAGAACAAAAUAAAUGAUCAAUCUAUGUGGAUAAAGAUCUUACCUUUUAAUCAACCGAUGGAGAGGAGCUGAGGGAGCCCCCCCCAAGGAUGGGAGAUGGGGGAGCUGAGGGAGAGGGAGAGAGAUAGAGAGAGAGGGAGAGAUCGAGCGCCCUUUUGCCCGCAUGAGAGAGAGAGGGAGAGAGAUAGAGAGAGAGAGCGAGAGACCGAUUGCCCUUUUGCUCGCACGAG
RNAcentral lists this long non-coding RNA (266 nucleotides) under Elaeis guineensis (African oil palm). Its description in RNAcentral is "long non-coding RNA (EGUI_LNC016857)". Lineage: Eukaryota; Viridiplantae; Streptophyta; Magnoliopsida; Arecales; Arecaceae. The record is from RNAcentral.